GCCAGAUGUGGUGGCUCACAUCUGUAAUCCUAGCAUUUUGGGAGGCCAAGACAGGAGGAUCGCUUGAGCCCAGGAGUUUGCGACCAGCCUGGGCAACACAGUGAGAUCCUGUCUAUA
RNAcentral lists this non-coding RNA (117 nucleotides) under Pan troglodytes (chimpanzee). Lineage: Eukaryota; Metazoa; Chordata; Mammalia; Primates; Hominidae. The record is from Rfam by way of RNAcentral.